This 1596-nucleotide long non-coding RNA is filed under the name Bemisia tabaci. RNAcentral describes it as "lncRNA ENSSSA3NGG006558". The record is from RNAcentral. Lineage: Eukaryota; Metazoa; Arthropoda; Insecta; Hemiptera; Aleyrodidae.
AUGAACCAAUUGAGAAGAAUUAAUGUUCAUAAUGGAACAUGCGGCACAUCAACCGAGCGCAUAAAUCAGAUUGGACAAGCAACUAGAGUGGACACCGCACGGGUAGAUGCAUUUACUGAGCAAAGUAAUUCAAUUUCACAGUUGAACAGAUCAAGCAAGCAGAGAUCAAGCGAUCAGAUUGGCCGAGGAAGGUGCAUAAACGUAUCGACCGAUUUGAUGAACCAAGUAGGUGACCGCUCGUCGCAUCAAACCGAUGGGCUUAAAAACAGAAUUCAUAGCGUCGAUAACUUAGAUAGGAAUGAUCUCUCGUUUUGGUCCACGUUGGAUUUCCGGGACAGACUAGAUGGUGCCUGGGCUUCUCAAAAACAUUUUGAAGUGCAAAGUUUGCAGAGAAACAAGAUUGGAGAUCGAGUUGGUAGAGUUACGAGUGAAGAAAGUAGGCUCCGAGGACUGCCGGAAAAAGUGAGCUUGCGGAGAAUUCGGUCACAGGGUCAAGCUGAUUGGUUAAAUGAAAGACUAGAUAGAGUAAAUAGGUGGAAGGUGGAGUCCGAAAUUCCCUCUGAUAAUCAGAGGAAACUAACCAAAGAGUGCACGAAUCAUAGUGAUAGAUUAGGAGAUAAUGGCGAAAAAAAUUCUCAAACAAGUAGAAAGGAUACAGGUAAAAGGAAACAUCGACAUCGGAGGAAAACUAAGCGAAAAGAUAAAGCAGAAGAUCGCCAAGAAGAAGGCAUGAAGAGGGAUUUUAAAGAAGAGCAGGCUCGGUUCCGAGAGUUUCUCGAAAAUCAGACUCGAAAAACAGGCCUAGCCGCGAUUAAGGAUAAAUUUUCUAGCUUGCCAUCAAAUUUUUCCUCUCGGAGGAACCAUUACAAAGUUGCAGAUAGUGAUUUUGACGAUUCAAAAGAAAAUAUGAACGAAUCGAAACAUAUCAAGCCAAGAAAUAAAAUUGACUGUCACAGAUCCACCAGACACACCACUGACUUAAUUAACGAAAGGAGACUCGAUCUAAGGAUGUCCAAAAGCUUCACUGGUGGAAAAUCCUCAUUGCCAAAUGCUCAAAAUUUUGAUAUGUCCGACGAUCUAGACGAUAUACGACUCAGUUGUUUGACAAAACCGCAGAAAGGUACGAAAGAUAUUCCAAUGCCUGAUUUCAGAAAUUUUGGGAGGACGAAUAAUGGGUCGAGCGCUGGGGAAGCAUCAUGGCACUCACAGAAUUCUGAGCAUCGUAAACACUCUCCAUUCAUCGAUGGAUCUGAACGGACUUUUAAGGUAAAAAGGAUAUCGAGUAAUUCAGAGGGACCGCACAUCGGUCCUCGAUUGUCUCGAUCACGGGAUUCUAUCUUGAGCGAAGACAAAGUAGACCUACCGUCCGAGCUGAGACGAAAGACAAAGACUCGUGUUUCAGAUGUUGAAUACUCCAGACGGAAUAAGGCACAGAACGGUCCGUCUGGAAUGUCGGAGGGCAACAGACUCUCGAGAUCAAGAGACUCGAUUUAUGUGACACCAAGAAUGAUCCGCCUCCAAAAACAACCACGAGCAACAAAGGUAAAGCUCGAAGGAGCUCGUAUGAUAGUUCAACUCUUCCACAGUCAGGAUUGA